This is a long non-coding RNA of Cornus florida, 3676 nucleotides long. RefSeq lists it as uncharacterized. NCBI's taxonomy places the organism in Eukaryota, Viridiplantae, Streptophyta, Magnoliopsida, Cornales, Cornaceae. The record is from RefSeq and is a predicted model, not a curated record. The transcript has 4 exons.
CCCAAAAAGCCACCUAAAGCAAGUUACGGAUCAAUCCUUCGUAAAUCAUUUUACGAGCCCCAAUCAUCCCGGUGACCUCAACCCUCUGCCCUCUUCUCUCUCUCUCCUACCCCACACACUCUCUCCUCAAACUCGCCUACACCAUCGCCACUCCUCCGUCGCUGUGAAACUCUAGAAGAAAGCAACAGCUGGGGACAAGCGAUGCCAAGAGGACUCGGUAUUGUUUCAUCUAUUGUGAGACAAUGAGCUUAUUCUAAAUCAGAACUCAAUGCUCCAAAAGAUGGUGCCUUUUAUCAUGAAUAUGCACAGCACAUUGUGUAGUCAUUUGGCGUUGUUGGAUGCUUUUGUGUUUCAAUUGCUGCUGCCGAUCUGAACGUACUUCAGUAAUUUUAUUUUUUAUUUUUUAUUUUAUCAGCAGCAGCAGAAAAAAUAAAGAUUUGAAAUAUUCCAACUUUGGCUUAAUGAUUUUUUUGUCAAAAAACCUAUAAGCUGAAGUUAGAGUACUUCAAAUCUUUGGGCUUUUCAGAAGCAGAAAUUGCAGAGUUAUUGUCAUCUGUACCUUAUAUCCUUGGAAGAAGCCUUGAAAACCAAAUCAUACCUGCUGUUCAAGUCAUUAGACGUAUUGUUGGUACCAAUGAGGAUGUCUUGAAAGCAAUCAAAGCGUGCUAUGGAAUACUUGAAUUAAAGUUGGAGAAGGUGUUGGAACCAAAUAUUGCAAUCUUGUUGAAUCAUGGUGUACCCAAGUCAUUAGUCCUAAAAUGGUUUAUACCCAAGUCAUUAGUCCUAAAAUGGUUUAUGAAUAAACCAAAGUUCCUACUUUUAAAAAGUGAUCUGUUUAGUGAGGUGGUCAAUGAUGUUAAAAAAAUGGGUUUUGAUCCCACAAAUUUGCUAUUCAUGUCAGCGAUGCAUUCAAUGGCAAUGAAUCAAUGAUGAGCAAAUCACCCGGGGAGCAAAAAUUGGGAGUUUAUUCUAGUUUUGGUUUGUCAGAAGUCGACAUUAUUGCAUCAUUCAAGUUAAAACCACUGUGAAUGACUGCUUCAAAGGAGAAGAUCAGGAAAUCAAAUACUUCUGCUAUUUAGCUUGGAGAAGAGGAUGGUGUACUGUUCUACAGCUUUUGAUGUCGAAAAAUCUGAUUGAGGAAGACGUGAGCUUAAUAUAUGCACUCAAAAUGACUGAAAAGAUGUUUGUGGGGAAGUUUAUGAGCAAGUAUCAGAAUGUGAUUCCUGAAUUCGUCAAGCAAGUCAAGGCAAGAUACAAUUUCAAGGGUUUCCCUUUAAUUUAAGAACAUGAAUGGCUGUAAUAUUUGUGGAAUUUAAGAACAACUUCACUAUAUUGUAUUACUAGUCCAUAGAAAAUCACCAUGUGGAGCUUAUAUGGUAGUUGUAUGGGGUAGUGGCAGUGGCAGUACUAAACGCAGCUCAGGAGAAGUUCCCUUAGCAUCCAUUAGUUCUGGAAGAACGACAUCAAUUGAAGGAUCGCAAAGUCCUAUUAGUGAUUCUUCUUUUUUUUUUCCCCUUCAAAAAACUAUGGUAGACAUUUGCUUUUUAUGCUUAAGAUAGAUUUACUUCAAUUUGUACAAUUUAAGCAUCAUUUUGUUGUUCUUGUACGAUGAUGCAUGGACAAUUCAGUUUGUUUCCUCCUAAUCUUAUGAACUACUGGUCCUUCGUUUUGCAGUCACUCAUAUGAGUUGUACUUUUGUUCCUGUUCUGUGCUUUCACCGCAUGGUAUAUUGUACAGAGAGCUUUAAGAGAGCUUGUGCUUUGAUGGGUGUUAUGGAAGACUUGUGCAAGGCUCACCAUGUUAAUUUCAUUUUAUCAUAUGCAUGGUGCCUGUUUCAGGGUCUUUAUCUCAGCCCCAAGCAUCGGCAUUACCUGCGUCUAUCCACUAGAAAGGUAUGAUAGUGUGUGUGGGCAUCCUUAAUCUUGUGGAGAGUUUUGUGACCAAUUAUCAUGACAUGAUAUAGUUACAUUAUUAUGAAUAACCAGCUUGUUUUCCUGAGUUUCACACUGCUGUUUAGCAGGAAACUUUUUGUGACAUUAGAGCAAGGAACUUCAACUCAUAGUUCAGGAGAGAUUGGUCCUGACGUCUAUUGAGCCUAGUGGUUCACUAAAAAUCUGUUUUAUGACCUUUGAUUUCUUAUCACUAUUUUUCUUUCUGUUUAAUACAAAAUAUUGCAGAAGAUUAGGUAAGAGAUUGGGUAAUGCCUACUUGUAUUAUAACUAACGGCAUUCAAGUAAAUUCUGCCAUCUUAAGCUUUUUUAAUGGAUUUAACUUCUAAUUCAUUUAUUUCUUGAACAUCCUAAUCAUUAAAUUGGGGAUACAACAAUAUCACAAACAUUAAAUUAGGCGCCCAAUUUCAUUAAAUUGGGGAUACAACAAUGAUGCAAAGGUAUUCCAUUCUCUAUUUAAUGUAGUAUAGGAUGAGCUAAAUGGUACAUUUGAGAUGGGCUGCAAGUUCAAUUUUGUUCAAUGUCUCAUUUCAGGUUAUUCUCUUUGACAAUCAUUUUUUUUUUGUUUUGUUUUGGUUGUUUAGAAUUAGAAUUGAACAUAGGAAAAAUAUUGGAGAGUGAUUUUAAACAAUUGAAUAAUUGAUUUCUUAAACUGAAACGACCCUAAAUUGAUACCAUUUUUAAAAAAAAUUUGGCAUGACCUCCCCUAAAAAGGGGACUAUAACCAUCUGCUCAAAUAAAAAAAAAACACAAUGGCCCUUCCUGGCCUCUCAAAACACCUCCAACCUGUCCCAACACAUAAUACAAUUAAUAUACUCCAACAUCCCAUCCAUUCGUUCAUUAUACCUCAACAUGGUUCAUCUCAUGGUAGAACAUCUACACAUCGUCUAAUCCAAAUUAUCAUAAUUACAAUUCCAAAAUAUAGUUACAAUAACAAGAGUUCACAAAUCUCUUUACCAAAUAUAACAAGUUAAGAUAUUACAAAAAUAUGGGACUUAAUACAAAAAUAGCAAAAAGAAGUCUUCUAAUCCAAAUUAGGCCUGUGGUGGAAAGUCAUCCGCCAUUUCUUUCCCGUUUCCUAAAAAAAAAAUUAUUAAAUUAUAGGGUAAGUAUAAAGCUCAGUAGGUAGCACUUAAGACACGCUUCUUGUGUCCUCGUGAAUCUAAACAUAGAAUAGAGCAAUGAGAAUGGGGAUCAGGCCAUGUAGGGAAACCACAAUAUAAUAAUCAAUCUCCACAUAAUUAACAUAAUGCAAUGGGAAUGCAAUGCAUGCCGAUGUCGCUCCCCAUUUUCAAAAUCAAAACCAUCACUUGUAAACUGUUAAUAUAACCCACCCUUUGGUGACCCAGCAGUGACACGAGAGAAGGAUUGGCUAGUGUCCCUGACCCUUGGUACCCCCGCAGCGUCAUUAUGGGGCCCAGCUAGCUCAACCACGCUAGGGCAAUCUCCCUAGUUCCCUCUAGGCUAUAUUAACCUUCCGGCCCUUUGGUACCCCCGCGGCGACCGGGUUUUCACAAAACCGAUUCAUUAUAAUAUUUUCCCAAAAUUCUCUUUUUCUUUUCAACACAUAAACAUGCUCUUUACAUAAAGCAUUUAAUCAACAUAGUUCCAUGGUUAUCAUAUAAGCAUGCUUUUCAUACAACAUAUUUAACACAUUCUCACAUGUUCAUAUAUCUCAAUCAAGUCAAUUUAAACUAUAAUUAACAUAAUUAAGCAUUCUAAGACGC